GUUGCCCCUAGAGGCAUUGCAUGAGUGGUUACUGUAUCAUACGUGCGUCAGUAGGUGGCAGAGGGGAGAGAAGCUAUGUCUAAACUCAGUGUUCUGACCUGUGAACAUGUAGAUGAUUAGUAUUGACACU
Molecule: small nucleolar RNA, 130 nt
Organism: Arvicanthis niloticus (Nile rat)
Lineage: Eukaryota; Metazoa; Chordata; Mammalia; Rodentia; Muridae
Product: small nucleolar RNA SNORA17
Source: RefSeq, a predicted model, not a curated record